This 83-nucleotide transfer RNA is filed under the name Candidatus Kaiserbacteria bacterium. RNAcentral's name for it is "tRNA-Tyr". It matches the Rfam family "tRNA". From Rfam's summary of the family: Transfer RNA (tRNA) molecules are approximately 80 nucleotides in length. The record is from RNAcentral. Lineage: Bacteria; Candidatus Kaiseribacteriota.
GCGUCGGUGGCAGAGUGGUCAAUUGCAAUGGGCUGUAAACCCAUCGCCGAAAGGCUCCGCAGGUUCGAAUCCUGCCCGGCGCA